This is a long non-coding RNA of Helianthus annuus (common sunflower), 727 nucleotides long. RefSeq lists it as uncharacterized. The transcript is spliced from 6 exons. The record is from RefSeq and is a predicted model, not a curated record. NCBI's taxonomy places the organism in Eukaryota, Viridiplantae, Streptophyta, Magnoliopsida, Asterales, Asteraceae.
AAAGAUUUUAUUCAACACCUCAACGUUCUCAGAUCUAAACCCUACUCCGCCUACUUCGAUCGCACCGCCACCAUACAACCACCGUCCAACACAUCACCAAAGCCUCCUCCGACCAACUCCUCAGCAAAUUCGCCGAAUAGACCUGGUCGGAAAAUCCUCCCGCCGAUUCACUUUCCAGCUCUGCUCCUCGAUCAUCCGCCCGUUCUCACAGGUCGUUGCUGGUUCCUGUAGCAACGAGAGAUCUAUCGUGAAGGAAGAGUUCGUGUUUUGGAACAAUCGAGAAGGGUGGCUACUUGGAGGUGAUGCAUGAUCUUCACGGGUCAGACUUCACUGAGGUUCCAGAUGACCCUGAGGUGUGGGAUCGUGUGCAGGCAGGAGGUCGCAGGAUUUGGGUCAGAUUAAUAUAUUAUAUUUCUACCCUGUAGGAUCCUGAGGGUCUGUUUCCAUGUAUUCUUGGUCAUGAGGCUGCUGGGAUUGUUGAGAGUGUUGGUGAAGGGGUGACCGAAGUUUGAAACGAUAAAGACCGCCAAUCUGCAACUCAACUUUUGGUGGAGGGUCCUUGCAUAUUCGUUGGUCCUAUUGAAAGGGCUAGUCAAGAAACUCUAGAGGCUUUUUAUCGACAAGCACAGGAUUCGUACUAUAGUGGGAAACCCUUGAUCGUUGACGACAUGUUUGAUAGAGUAGAGUUACAGUUACGGUGGUAUGGAUCAACGUAUGUCGUCAGGUA